CCAGAACAAAGUGUUCAUGUUGAGCCCACCCUUCAGGGCUAAAAGGGCUUCUCUGUCAGUGACUUGUUCGUAGUUUGUAAUUUUGUCUGUAAACCUGGCGAGAUAGCUUUUCAGCGUCUCCCCAGGGGCCUGCCUCGUGUCUUGCAGGCGUUGAAUUGGUGCCUCUCCUUUCCUGCCUGAGAGGUACUGGUUCAAAAAUGUUUUCUUCAAAUCUGGCCAACUUCUGAUGCUUAGGGGAGAAAGCUUGCUGUACCAUAUCUCGGCGACCCUGCCUAGCAUUAAAUGGAAGGCUCUGUAUUUUAAAGCAGGCGAGGCUCCCCUCAGGCUCAUCUGCAUCAUGUACUUGGUGAGGUGCUUCUUCGGAUCCCCCUUUCCUUCAUACUUGGGGAUCUUAGGGGGUAUGAAAUUCGCUGGCAUUGGGAAGCUUUGGAUCUCCUUUGAGAAAGGGAGGUUAUCAUCAUCAUCGUCAAUCUCAUAAGAUCGACAGGGCCCAUCCGACCCUUCUCAUCUUGGAUGUCCUGGGGAGGCGGAGGUGCUUCUCCUCGACUUCCCCAAUCGACUAGAUUCCUCCUCUCUAUCCUAUUUCUAGGAGGAGGAGAGGGAGCAUGUUCUUGUUCGUGAUCUGGACGAACUGAUCCUCUUGCUGGGUGGACCCUAUUGCUAGGACCUUCCCCUAUCCGGUCGAAGACGCUUAACGAUCUUCGGUCCUCAUGUUCCUGAGAGAAAUUGUCCCCCAAGCGUGGUUCUGAUGGCUGACUCCCUUGCACAUAAGAUGUAGCUUCAGCGUUCAUCUCCCUUUCGAGGGGACGUUCUGUGUGCCGGCUCAUGUGGCCUCGGGAGUGAGACACAGGGGCUUCCCGCACCGGAUAAGAUCCUUGGGGCAUUUGAUAGCCCUGAUGACCCUGGGCUUGCAAGAGGAGUUCCUGCAUUGCCAUAUUCUGAGCUGCUAUGUCUCUCAUACUUGCAGCUAUCUGAGCCAUUCCUUCAGUGAGUAUGGCUGUUCUUCCACUUUGGCGACGUCGGUGAUGUGGUCUCUGAUGAGUAACAUUGUUAUGGAGUACCUCUUCUUCAGAGACCUCUCUCACGGGGUUGUAGUUUUCAUGGCUGUAGCUCAUCCUACCUCUUUUUUCAAAUUAAUUAGAUUUCAUGUUCAUGAAUGAAUUUGAUUUUUGACAUGAGUUUUAGACAUAAAUAAAUUAAUCUCCCAACUAUUUAUAUUAUUUUCACAAAUUGGUUGUUGUUAAAAUUGUUGGGAGGGGGGUGGAAUAAAUGAACAAUACUUUGGAGAUUUAUUUCAGAUCUCACAAUAAUGACUAAUUUUGAAAGUAAAUAAGCAUUUUAAUUAAUAUUCUUCUUCACCAUUAUUAUUACAAAAGAAACUGGACACACAUGUGUAACGUGAAUAGAAUGUUAUUUCCAAUAUUAUUUUAGUUGUUUAUUGAUGAGCCAAUAUCUUAUUUGCGGGCUGUAAAAUAAAUUAAAAUAUAUUUUUUUACCAGAUUUCUCAUAUUAAAUUAAAUAAAGGGAAGUUUAUGGUGACGACUCAUAUUUAUUCUUCAUAAAAUUUUGGAGCUAUUUAAUUAUUCCAGGAGCCACACAUAUAAAGUGAUAAAUGCAUGCAUGAACCGAAGCAAUUAGCUGCAUCAAUUAUUCAUUUUCAUAACCAAGGUACUCACACGUAAAUGCAUGGAUGAACCAAAGACAUUAACUACAUCAAUUAUUCAUUUUUAUAACCAAAGUACUCACACACAAACAUUAAUAGAUUCACGUACAUACCUUUCUUCACCAAGUGGUUAUUUGUGAUUGAAGACGACGUCAAGAGUUUGCCUUGCUUUCAGGUAUUUCACAUCAGUUCUUUCCUGCUGCUUUCAUUGGUUUCUCAUUGAAGCAUUUGUAUGUUUAUUUCAUCCGAAUGAAAUUUUGAUAGCACUCAAAGCUCCACAUGGCACCACUUUAGAAGUUCCAAAUCCUAGUGAGGUUACUUUUCUUUACUUUUUUCUAAAAAAGUGACCAAUAACUUAGAUUUAAGUAUUGCACAAGAAUCUGUACUGCAUAUAUACUUAUGAAUUUUUUUGAUUUGUUCAGGCAAUUGAUUAUCCACAGAGGAGAUACAAAAUAGUUCUCCGGAGCACUAUGGAACCUAUAUAUAUAUACCUUGUCAGGUACUACUUUCCUGUAAGAAAGUGCAUUCAUUAUUACCUUCAACUUUUUUAUCAAGGUUUACCAUCGAUCGUAAGGGAGAAAAUUGAUCAACUGACAUUUGUUAUGUUUUUUAUUUGUUUCCGAUUAUCUGCCCUCCAAUGUAAUUUAGUCAAUUUGAAGAAAAAUUUGAAAUGAAUUAGGUCUUCAGCAUCAACAUUUAAUGAGAAUGCUUCUACAACACCAGUAACCGAAGGGAUAAGAGUGAACGAAUAUGAGAUUCAGAGCUUAGCAGCUCAAAAACAAGUACAUCGCAG
Molecule: long non-coding RNA, 2456 nt
Filed under: Olea europaea subsp. europaea
Lineage: Eukaryota; Viridiplantae; Streptophyta; Magnoliopsida; Lamiales; Oleaceae
Source: RNAcentral